GUUGGUUGGUGAACUUUCAAACAAUUUCAAUUUUCGGCGCAUUAUUUUUUUUCUGCUUGUUGAACAAAAAAAAAUUCGGUGGGCAAAGAGACAGGAAACUUAGUGUUCAUCUGAAAAAUUAAAAACUUGAAAAAUUAAAAACCGGAUCUUCCUAACAAACUUACUCUUCCCCAUACCGUCUACUAAAAAAUCUCCAGCUUAUUCUGGCAAAAUGCUAAAAGCCUGGAGAAAACUUUUGUUCAAAUAAUCGUUUCAGCUCAGGCAACAAUUUCUUUAUCCUGCGAGUGUCUGUUUAUUUUAGUUAGGCCGAGACAAUUCAUCUUAUCCAAAAAAAAGUAAGAAAAUUGCCUGUAGCUGAAUGAUAUAACUUCCCUUUAGUUUUAUUGAACUUAUUUUGUGGUCUAUGAUGAAAGUAGUUGCAUAACCUUUACAAUUCUUUUGUCUGAAAGAAGUUUGUCAGCCCACAUACUUUUGAGGAAUUAAAGAAUUAAUUUACAGUCUAUUACAAGAUUUAUUUGAGCCAAUCAAAUUUUCCAUCAAUUUAUUUAUUUUGAAAUGAGAGUUUGAGUCCACGAAAGUUGGCUGCUUGUUCUUUAGCUUAAAAAAACGGGCAAAAUUUGUUAAUUAAUCAAAAGGAGCAGUUUAUUUUCGAAAAUGCUUGAAACAAAUUUUAAUUUUACAACAAUUGUUUUUCCAAGUUACUUCAUGGCACUUUUGAUCAGCACAAGAGGUCAAUAUGGUGUGAUGGCUAACUCCCCAUUAAUCGAAAGAACGGAAACUUUUAGCGGAAAAAGUCAUAGUCUUGGCAACAAAGUUCCAGAAAAUUUCAACAAAGAAAAUUUCAACAAAGAGCAAGAGCAACGGAAUCACCUCCAACUUAAUGGACGAGUGCUACUGAAAAGACCAUUUGGCAACUACCUACCAAAAACUGGCUCAAAAGGAAACCAGAAAGCAUUCAGAGAACAAACAACAAAGUAGAGCGAAAGCAAAUAGUUCAAAAGAUGUAAUAAUAACGCAUUGAGUAUCAAUAUUUUGAU
Molecule: long non-coding RNA, 1037 nt
Organism: Symsagittifera roscoffensis
Lineage: Eukaryota; Metazoa; Xenacoelomorpha; Acoela; Convolutidae
Exons: 4
Source: RefSeq, a predicted model, not a curated record